GAAUAUUGGACAAUGGGCGAAAGCCUGAUCCAGCCAUGCCGCGUGUGUGAAGAAGGCCUUUUGGUUGUAAAGACCUUUACGCGAGGAGGAGGCGACUGGGAUCAAUACUCUAGGUUAGUGGACGGUACUCGCCGAAUACGCACGGGCUAACUCUUUGCCUGCAGCCGCGGUAAUACAGGGGGUGCGAGGGUUACUCGGAUUUACUUGGCGUAAAGGGUGCGUAGGCGGCUUUUUAAGUCGGAUGUGAAAUCCCUGAGCUUAACUUAGGAAUUGCAUUAGAUACUGGGAAGCUAGAGUAUGGGAGAGGAUGGUAGAAUUCCAGGUGUAGCGGUGAAAUGCGUAGAGAUCUGGAGGAAUACCGAUGGCGAAGGCAGCCAUCUGGCCUAAUACUGACGCUGAGGUACGAAAGCAUGGGGAGCAAA
RNAcentral lists this ribosomal RNA (422 nucleotides) under uncultured bacterium. Its description in RNAcentral is "partial 16S ribosomal RNA". It matches the Rfam family "Bacterial small subunit ribosomal RNA", at positions 359 to 772 of the family's 1533-position model. The record is from RNAcentral.